RNAcentral lists this long non-coding RNA (416 nucleotides) under Salmo salar (Atlantic salmon). RNAcentral's name for it is "lncRNA (ENSSSAG00000082871.1, ENSSSAG00000104547.1)". The record is from RNAcentral. Lineage: Eukaryota; Metazoa; Chordata; Actinopteri; Salmoniformes; Salmonidae.
ACUGUCUAUACACACCAUCCUAUUUAACUACUGUCUAUACACACCACCCUAUUUAACUACUGUAGGUUAACUGUCUGUCCUUGUGAAGUUUUUGACAGUUGUACCUCACCCUCUCUAAACAUAAUGACUUUUUUUCAUGAACUUUGACCACAAUGUAUUAUUUACCCAUAGGUUUGUCUUAUAUGUGUAUCAUGUUGCAUGUGGGACGAAAGGUGUUAUGUUGUAGAGACAGUGUAGAGACAGUGUAGGACUAUCUGUGUUAUCAUGUUGUAGAGACAGUGUAGAGACAGUGUAGGACGAAAGGUGUUAUCAUGUUGUAGAGACAGUGUAGGACUAUCUGUGGGACGAAAGGUGUUAUCAUGUUGUAGAGACAGUGUAGGACUAUCUGUGGGACGAAAGGUGUUAUCAUGUUGUAG